ACAGGCCGAAGCGGUUCCCUGUGAGUAGACUCCUUAAUUGGGGUUGAAAGCGCCUACGCAUCAACCACAUGCAUACGGGACGUCGGCCAAUGUUACUGUGAACAAACCAGCGUGUCCAAAGCAGGCUUGCCUGAAUGUUCGAGCAUGGAAUAACAAGGGAUCGAUUCUCUCGGUUCUUUUUGUUGGAGAAGGAGUAAUGCAGGCCACGGUGUCUGAGGUGGGUUUCCCUAGGCUUCGGUUUAGGCCCCAUCUAGGCCGUGUCCUUACGGGAUCAAUAGGGACUGACGGGGUCGUACCUACUGCCGCGUCAGAAGUGAAAUUCUUAGAUCGCGGGAAGAGGAACUUCUGCGAAAGCAUUCGACAAGAAUGUCUUCAUUAAUCAAGAACGAGAGUGUGGGGAUCGAAGAUGAUCAGAUACCGUCGUAGUCCACACUGUAAACAAUGCCGUCUCAGGAUUGAGAAGUGAACAGAAUGACUUUCACAGCACUAACCCCUGAAACGAGAAAUCAAAGAUUAUGGGUUCAGGGGGGAGUACAUUCGCAAGGCUGAAACUUAAAGGAAUUGACGGAAUGACACCACAAGGCGUGGAGUAUGCGGCUUAAUUUGACUCAACACGGGGAAUUUUACUAGGUC
Molecule: ribosomal RNA, 633 nt
Filed under: uncultured marine eukaryote
Lineage: Eukaryota
Description: bacterial SSU rRNA
Rfam family: Eukaryotic small subunit ribosomal RNA
Source: RNAcentral